UACGUAGGGUGCGAGCGUUGUCCGGAAUUACUGGGCGUAAAGAGCUCGUAGGUGGUUUGUCGCGUCGUCUGUGAAAUUCCGGGGCUUAACUCCGGGCGUGCAGGCGAUACGGGCAUAACUUGAGUACUGUAGGGGAGACUGGAAUUCCUGGUGUAGCGGUGAAAUGCGCAGAUAUCAGGAGGAACACCGGUGGCGAAGGCGGGUCUCUGGGCAGUAACUGACGCUGAGGAGCGAAAGCAUGGGGAGCGGACAGGAUUAGAUACCCUGGUAGUCAAGGGCG
This 280-nucleotide ribosomal RNA is filed under the name uncultured Actinomycetales bacterium. RNAcentral describes it as "partial 16S ribosomal RNA". It matches the Rfam family "Bacterial small subunit ribosomal RNA", at positions 524 to 802 of the family's 1533-position model. Lineage: Bacteria; Bacillati; Actinomycetota; Actinomycetes; Actinomycetales. The record is from RNAcentral.